Molecule: long non-coding RNA, 97 nt
Organism: Dipodomys spectabilis (banner-tailed kangaroo rat)
Lineage: Eukaryota; Metazoa; Chordata; Mammalia; Rodentia; Heteromyidae
Exons: 3
Source: RefSeq, a predicted model, not a curated record
AUUCCUUUGUACUAUUUAAAAGAGGGGCUGCAUGGUUUCCCUCAUUUGUGGUAGCUAGAAUGUGUCUAUAAAUCUAUAAGCAAACACACUGAAUGAU